ACUUUGUAAGAAUUAAGACUGGAGCGGGGGACCCAACUAAGGGGCGCAUUUCUAGGGAAUCUUAUCUAGAAAAGGACAUCUCUCAGUCCUAGCCCGUCAGCUAACCUCGUCAGCUAUUGAGAGGAGACUG
Molecule: small RNA, 130 nt
Filed under: Cyanothece sp.
Lineage: Bacteria; Bacillati; Cyanobacteriota; Cyanophyceae; Gomontiellales; Cyanothecaceae
Description: c-di-AMP sequence
Rfam family: c-di-AMP riboswitch aptamer (ydaO/yuaA leader)
About the family: This family represents a conserved RNA structure found upstream of the ydaO and yuaA genes in Bacillus subtilis and related genes in other bacteria. The ydaO/yuaA element is thought to act as a genetic "off" switch for the ydaO and yuaA genes in its native state.
Source: RNAcentral